AGUGAACGCUGGCGGUAGGCCUAACACAUGCAAGUCGAACGGCAGCACAGGAGAGCUUGCUCUCUGGGUGGCGAGUGGCGGACGGGUGAGGAAUACAUCGGAAUCUACUUUUUCGUGGGGGAUAACGUAGGGAAACUUACGCUAAUACUGCAUACGACCUACGGGUGAAAGCAGGGGAUCUUCGGACCUUGCGCGAGUGAAUGAGCCGAUGUCGGAUUAGCUAGUUGGCGGGGUAAAGCCACACCAAGGCGACGAUCCGUAGCUGGUCUGCGAGGAUGAGCAGCCACACAGGGACUUAGACACGGUCCAGACUCCUACGUGAGGCAGCGGUGGGGAAUAUUGGACAAUGGGCGCAAGCCUGAUCCAGCCAUACCGCGUGGGUGAAGAAGGCCUUCGGGUUGUAAAGCCCUUUUGUUGGGAAAGAAAUCCAGCUGGUUAAUACCCGGUUGGGAUGACGGUACCCAAAGAAUAAGCACCGGCUAACUUCGUGCCAGCCGCCGCGGUAA
Molecule: ribosomal RNA, 506 nt
Filed under: uncultured bacterium
Lineage: Bacteria
Description: partial 16S ribosomal RNA
Rfam family: Bacterial small subunit ribosomal RNA
Source: RNAcentral